AUACGAAGGGCCCGAGCGUUGUGCGGAUUCACUGGGCUUAAAGGGUGCGUAGGCGGAGGUGUAAGUGUCUUGUGAAAGCCCACGGCUCAACCGUGGAACUGCAGGGCAUACUGCAUCUCUAGAGGUCGGUAGGGGCUGUCGGAACUGUAGGUGUAGCGGUGAAAUGCGUAGAUAUCUACAGGAACGCCAAUGGCGAAGGCAGACAGCUGGGCCGAUUCUGACGCUGAGGCACGAAAGCGUGGGGAGCAAACAGGAUUAGAAACCCCGGUAGUCC
This 274-nucleotide ribosomal RNA is filed under the name uncultured bacterium. RNAcentral describes it as "partial 16S ribosomal RNA". It matches the Rfam family "Bacterial small subunit ribosomal RNA", at positions 523 to 796 of the family's 1533-position model. The record is from RNAcentral.